UCCAAGGUUAAAUAUGAACUCAAAACACAAUGGGACAGUUUCAGCGUAGCACAGAAUAUCAACAUUGCACUGUCCAUGCACUCAAACAAGAGUUUAUUCUGGUCUCUUUGGUUAGGUAACAGUAGUCUGGAGCUUCAGCUGGUAAAACUGUACCAAGCCCUGUACAGAAAAUAUCUGAGCUAAACAGAUGCUGCUUUUUCCUGCAAAAUUAUCUUACAAAUGACUUGUGCUCUAAGCUGAUUUUAUGCAUAGCAAAUACAUUUCUAAAUGAGAUUUCCUCCAUCAACCUCCGCUAACAGCAAUACCUAUUACAUUAUGCCUUAAAACAGUAUACCUGCUUGGAGGUAAUAAGCCUCACAAUCAGUCACUAUGGCAAAGAGUAAAUUGUCUUUUAUUCCAUUUCCAGAGGCAUAGAGGAAUACACAGAAGAAAAGAGUUUACUUGAGUUCAAGUGCAAGAUAUUAUCUUGUACUGGGGCUAAAAAUAGAGGUUUUUCCAGUGUUGAUCUUGUUUACAAGCAGCACAUAUGGCUAGUGACCUAUCUUCCCAAGGAGAAUGACUGAGAUGUGUUUGGAAUUAUUCCUGGAAUUAGACCAGCAUGAGGUCUCCUUUACCAAUUUGAGUGAUGUAAAAUACCUACAGGAGCAGCUGCUUCUAAUCUUUUUUUUUUUCUCUCUGGCCUAAUGAAUCUGGAGUAUUUAUUUGCAAGUUGAGCAGUAGUGAGGACCGAGUGUCCUGAUUCAGGAGCUGCCCAUUCUUGGUGAUGAGGGCUAGUUCUGGCUUUAUCAGCAGAGAAAAGACUUAAAGGCAGCCAAUAAUAACAGGCAAAAGGAUUUAGGUGGAAUUUAGGCAGGAUCCAGGGCAGAUUGAUCUGUGCAAUUUAUUUGUUCUGACAUCAAUCCUGGCUCUGCCAAAUAGGUCAGAAUCUGUUGGUGAGAUUGCAAUAGGCACAUGUAUGGAGAGCUGAAUGUGUCCCAGAUAAGACUACUUCUUUUGAAAAGUAAGGGUCUUGAGCAAAGCUCUGUCAACAGCAUCUUCCAUUCUCCUACCACUACCACCACUACAAUCUACUGCUUUUGUGGUUCUUUAAAAACAAUGUGGCCCUGUGAUGAAAUGGGUUCUUCUGUGGUGAAAGAAGUAGAUUUUAGCAACCAGGAUGAAAGCAAACAGUAAAAUUCUUAUCAGCAGCAACCCCAAAUCACUUGUCUAACUACUCUUUCACAUCAUAAAUACUGCUCAGUUGUAUUUAACUGAUCAGUAUAACCAGAGGUAAAUGAUGUUACAGUUCUUCCA
Molecule: long non-coding RNA, 1293 nt
Organism: Neopsephotus bourkii (Bourke's parrot)
Lineage: Eukaryota; Metazoa; Chordata; Aves; Psittaciformes; Psittacidae
Exons: 3
Source: RefSeq, a predicted model, not a curated record